This 508-nucleotide ribosomal RNA is filed under the name uncultured Diversispora. RNAcentral's name for it is "SSU rRNA". It matches the Rfam family "Eukaryotic small subunit ribosomal RNA", at positions 569 to 1078 of the family's 1831-position model. Lineage: Eukaryota; Fungi; Glomeromycota; Glomeromycetes; Diversisporales; Diversisporaceae. The record is from RNAcentral.
AGCAGCCGCGGUAAUUCCAGCUCCAAUAGCGUAUAUUAAAGUUGUUGCAGUUAAAAAGCUCGUAGUUGAACUUCGGGGUCUACCCAUUGGUCAGGCUUAAUUGUCUGCACUGGUGAGAUGGAUCUCUACCUUCUGAGGAACUUUCAUGCCAUUUAUUUGGUGUGGUUGGAAAUCAGGACUGUUACUUUGAAAAAUUAGAGUGUUUAAAGCAGACUAUCGUCUGAAUACAUUAGCAUGGAAUAAUGAAAUAGGACGGACUGAUUCUAUUUCGUUGGUUUCUAGGAUCACCGUAAUGAUUAAUAGGGAUAGUUGGGGGCAUUAGUAUUCAAUUGUCAGAGGUGAAAUUCUUGGAUUUAUGAAGACUAACUACUGCGAAAGCAUUUGCCAAGGAUGUUUUCAUUAAUCAAGAACGAAAGUUAGGGGAUCGAAGACGAUCAGAUACCGUCGUAGUCUUAACCAUAAACUAUGCCGACUAGGGAUCGGACGAAGUUAAUUUUAUAAUGACGCG